AGAGUUUGAUCCUGGCUCAGAAUUGAACGCUGGCGGCAUGCUUUACACAUGCAAGUCGAACGGUAACAGGUUAAGCUGACGAGUGGCGAACGGGUGAGUAAUGCAUCGGAACGUGCCCGGUCGUGGGGGAUAACGUAGCGAAAGCUGCGCUAAUACCGCAUACGAUCUGAGGAUGAAAGCGGGGGACCGUAAGGCCUCGCGCGAUCGGAGCGGCCGAUGUCAGAUUAGGUAGUUGGUGGGGUAAAGGCUCACCAAGCCGACGAUCUGUAGCUGGUCUGAGAGGACGACCAGCCACACUGGGACUGAGACACGGCCCAGACUCCUACGGGAGGCAGCAGUGGGGAAUUUUGGACAAUGGGCGCAAGCCUGAUCCAGCAAUGCCGCGUGCAGGAAGAAGGCCUUCGGGUUGUAAACUGCUUUUGUACGGAGCGAAAAGGCUUCCUCUAAUACAGGGGGUCCAUGACGGUACCGUAAGAAUAAGCACCGGCUAACUACGUGCCAGCAGCCGCGGUAAUACGUAGGGUGCGAGCGUUAAUCGGAAUUACUGGGCGUAAAGCGUACCGUCGGUGGUCGAGUAAGUUUCUUGUUUAAGCCUGGGGCCUAACUCCAGAAAGGCGAGGAAAACUACUUGACUUGAGUCUGUUCGGGGGAUUUGGAAUUCUCGGUGGAGGGGUGAAAUCCGUAGAUAUCGAGAGGAACACCAUACGCGAAGGCAGAAUCCUAGGACACGACUGACACUCAGGGACGACAGCUCGGGGAGCAAAAGGGAUUAGAGACCCCUGUAGUCCGAGCCGUAAACACUCCUUGCUAGCUGGUUCCACUCUGUGGGGCUGGCGCAAGCUAACGCGUUAAGCAAGGCGCCUGGGGAGUACGACCGCAAGGUUAAAACUCAAAGGAAUUGACGGGGGAGCGCACAACCGGUGGAGCAUGUGGUUUAAUUCGAUACGAAGCGAAAGACCUUACCCAGGUUUGACAUGUACCUGCACGGUCUAGGAAACUAGACUUUCUUCGAGAGUGGUACACAGGUGAUGCAUGGCUGUCGUCAGCUCGUGUCGUGAGACGUCCGCUUAAGUGCGGUAACGAGCGCAACCCUUAUCGUGUGUUAUAUUUGUCACACGAGACUGCCCUGGUUUCUACCAGGGAGGAAGGAGAGGACGACGUCAAGUCAGCACGUCCCUUACAUCUGGGGCUACACACAUCCUACAAUGGAGCCGACAACAGGCAGCGACAGGGCAACCUUGAGCAAAUCCUUAUAAACGGCCCCUCAGUUCGGAUUGAGGGCUGCAACCCGCCCUCAUGAAGCCGGAAUCGGUAGUAAUCGCAAAUCAGCAGGUUGCGGUGAAUACGUUCUCGCUCCUUGUACACACUGCCCGUCAAGCCAGCAAAGUUGGCAACGCCCGAAGCGGAUGACCUAAACUCGCAAGAGAUAGGCUCUUCUACGGCGAGGUCAGCGAUGAGGACUAAGUCGUAACAAGGUAACCC
Molecule: ribosomal RNA, 1482 nt
Filed under: uncultured bacterium
Lineage: Bacteria
Description: partial 16S ribosomal RNA
Rfam family: Bacterial small subunit ribosomal RNA
Source: RNAcentral